GGUUGUGUGAUUACUAGUACCCCAACGUAUUUGGGAGGGUCAAACUGAGUGACAAAGUGAGGAUUUGUAAAUCAACGAAGCCAGGGGAGAUAUACACUGUCGAGGAUAUUGAUGUGGGACGUAAAACAUGGAAUAGUUUUGGAAUGACUCAGAGACACAUUGUGUGGGGCAUGUUGAAAGAUGAAGACCGGAAGGUACUGGAGCAAAUGUACAGCUUAGAAUGAGAUGGGUUAAUAGUAUGGGAUGGUGGUGAGAAUGGGAUACAAGUUCACUUCACUGACAUCAAAGAUUUGGUACAGGAGAACUCGAUUCAUGGCAAUGUA
Camellia sinensis is the source of this 323-nucleotide non-coding RNA. The record is from RefSeq and is a predicted model, not a curated record. NCBI's taxonomy places the organism in Eukaryota, Viridiplantae, Streptophyta, Magnoliopsida, Ericales, Theaceae.